AAUAUUAGUCAAUGCUCGCAAGAGUGAACUAGCUAACUGAAAUCACAGGAUCCAUUACGUGUGGUGAAUGUAAUAACGUAAGGGAAAAAAAAUGAUAUUACCUUACUAUUAGUGUUGUCCAAAACUGGUGCCAGAAGACUCGGUAAGGCCAGAGACGCAAACGUUAGUCGUCCUAAUCAGGCGUAAAGGGUAUGUAGGCUGCUUUAAAAAUAUUAUAUUUAAUAGCUCUGUAUAAAUAAUUUAUUUUUAUUUAAUAAAAAAACAAAAAUUUCUAUCUUUAAACAGUAAAUAUAAAAUGAAUUAAAGCUAGAAUCAAAUUGAGGAUAAGUCAAAUAAUACUUAGUGUAGGGUUUAAAUCUGGUGAUAUUAGGUGGAGUACUAAAGGUGAAAGCUUUUUAUCUAUAAAUGAUUGACGCUGAGAAACGAAGGUGAGAAAAGAAAAUAGGAUUAGAUACCCAGAUAUCUCUCACAGUCAACGAUGAAUGGUGGUUGUUAGUUUAAUAUGACUGAUAACGAUGUUAACACGAUAACCAUUCCGCCUUGCGAGUACGGUUGCAAAACUGAAACCAAAAAAAUUAGUCGGUCUCGAAGCAAACGAAGUGAAGCAUGUUAUUUAAUUCGA
Molecule: ribosomal RNA, 622 nt
Filed under: Entoloma sinuatum
Lineage: Eukaryota; Fungi; Basidiomycota; Agaricomycetes; Agaricales; Entolomataceae
Description: partial small subunit ribosomal RNA
Rfam family: Bacterial small subunit ribosomal RNA
Source: RNAcentral